Molecule: ribosomal RNA, 495 nt
Filed under: uncultured bacterium
Lineage: Bacteria
Description: partial 16S ribosomal RNA
Rfam family: Bacterial small subunit ribosomal RNA
Source: RNAcentral
GACGAACGCUGGCGGCGUGCCUAAUACAUGCCAGUAGAACGCUGAAGGAGGAGCUUGCUUCUCUGGAUGAGUUGCGAACGGGUGAGUAACGCGUAGGUAACCUGCCUGGUAGCGGGGGAUAACUAUUGGAAACGAUAGCUAAUACCGCAUAAGAGUAGAUGUUGCAUGACAUUUGCUUAAAAGGUGCAAUUGCAUCACUACCAGAUGGACCUGCGUUGUAUUAGCUAGUUGGUGGGGUAACGGCUCACCAAGGCGACGAUACAUAGCCGACCUGAGAGGGUGAUCGGCCACACUGGGACUGAGACACGGCCCAGACUCCUACGGGAGGCAGCAGUAGGGAAUCUUCGGCAAUGGACGGAAGUCUGACCGAGCAACGCCGCGUGAGUGAAGAAGGGUUUCGGAUCGUAAAGCUCGGUUGUAAGAGAAGAACGAGUGUGAGAGUGGAAAGUUCACACUGUGACGGUAUCUUACCAGAAAGGGACGGCUAACUACGUG